Molecule: long non-coding RNA, 371 nt
Organism: Gossypium arboreum
Lineage: Eukaryota; Viridiplantae; Streptophyta; Magnoliopsida; Malvales; Malvaceae
Exons: 2
Source: RefSeq, a predicted model, not a curated record
UUUAAUGUAUCAGGUACUUCGUACCGGUGAUUUCGUUAUAUCAAAUACUAUGUAUCGGUAACUAUAUUAUCAGCUCAUGGGAGUAGCAUCGAGUAAUAGUUUAUGUCCCUAUUUACGGCUUGUGUGAGCAAAGUUAUCCCGAGUAUUCGAAGUUAAUUUACUAUAGUUCCUCGGGCAACACUAAGUAUGAAAUUGAAUUGAGAUAAAAAGAUGUAUUUGAAUGGAAAUGUUAGCUAUGAACUGAAUAUGGUUGUUAUGCAUAUUAUGUUAUUUAUAUGUAUGGAAUGAUGUAAUAACCAAUUUGGUUAUGUCAUGAAAGGUGUAAGGUGAAAAUGGAAUAAUAUGUAUAUAUGUUAUUUUCAUUAGUUAAA